AACGAACGCUGGCGGCAUGCCUAACACAUGCAAGUCGAACGAGACCUUCGGGCCUAGUGGCGCACGGGUGCGUAACGCGUGGGAACCUGCCCUUAGGUUCGGAAUAACUCCCCGAAAGGGGUGCUAAUACCGGAUAAUGUCUUCCGACCAAAGAUUUAUCGCCUUUGGAUGGGCCCGCGUUGGAUUAGCUGGUUGGUAGGGUAAAAGCCUACCAAGGCGACGAUCCAUAGCUGGUCUGAGAGGAUGAUCAGCAACACUGGGGCUGAGACACGGCCCAGACUCCUACGGGAGGCAGCAGUGGGGAAUAUUGGACAAUGGGCGAAAGCCUGAUCCAGCAAUGCCGCGUGAGUGAUGAAGGCCUUAGGGUUGUAAAGCUCUUUUACCCGGGAUGAUAAUGACAGUACCGGGAGAAUAAGCUCCGGCUAACUCCGUG
This 433-nucleotide ribosomal RNA is filed under the name uncultured bacterium. RNAcentral's name for it is "partial 16S ribosomal RNA". It matches the Rfam family "Bacterial small subunit ribosomal RNA", at positions 29 to 507 of the family's 1533-position model. The record is from RNAcentral.